UGGGGAAUAUUGGACAAUGGGCGCAAGCCUGAUCCAGCCAUGCCGCGUGAGUGAUGAAGGCCCUAGGGUUGUAAAGCUCUUUCGCCAGGGACGAUAAUGACGGUACCUGGAUAAGAAGCCCCGGCUAACUUCGUGCCAGCAGCCGCGGUAAUACGAAGGGGGCUAGCGUUGUUCGGAAUCACUGGGCGUAAAGCGCACGUAGGCGGAUCUUUAAGUCAGGGGUGAAAAUCCCGAGGCUCAAACCUCGGAACUGCCUUUGAUACUGGGGGUCUCGAGUCCGGGAGAGGUGAGUGGAAACUGCGAGUGUAGAGGUGAAAAUUCGUAGAUAUUCGCAAGAACACCAGUGGCGAAGGCGGCUCACUGGCCCGGUACUGACGCUGAGGUGCGAAAAGCGUGGGGAGCAAAACAGGAUUAGAUACCCUGGUAGUCCACGCCGUAAAACUAUGGAUGCUGGCCGUUGGGCAGCUUGCUGUUCAGUGGCGCAGCUAACGCUUUAAAGCAUCCCGCCUGGGGAGUACGGUCGCAAGAUUAAAAACUC
Molecule: ribosomal RNA, 538 nt
Filed under: uncultured bacterium
Lineage: Bacteria
Description: partial 16S ribosomal RNA
Rfam family: Bacterial small subunit ribosomal RNA
Source: RNAcentral